This is a long non-coding RNA of Rhinopithecus roxellana (golden snub-nosed monkey), 831 nucleotides long. RefSeq lists it as uncharacterized. The record is from RefSeq and is a predicted model, not a curated record. Lineage: Eukaryota; Metazoa; Chordata; Mammalia; Primates; Cercopithecidae. The transcript has 3 exons.
CCCACCAGGCUCCGCCCGCCAGGCCCCGGCCCGCCUGCAGAGGCGGCUCUGCCAGAAGGCAAACCCAGCGAGGGUAUCUCCAGAGCGUACAUCUAGAGGACAGGUGCCUUGUCCCUUUUAGAGCUCAACUGUGCAUUGAAAUGCAGAACUAGACAUUUCUAGGGCCUAUGUCUCCUUGAACUCUAAUGACUUUCAUUCCAUAGAAGCAUCUCCAGUAAGAGCUAUAGUGGCCUCUGAGAAGGGAACGUGCUGGUUACAGAACACAAGUGUCUUCCGCGGUUUCGUUCUGUGCUCGGUUUUUGAGGCACAGAAGUAGGAUCAGUGGCUCAGUUUGCUGGAAGAAGGACAGCCAGCAGCAAAUCUGAAUGUCUUCCCAUCACAACCGCAAGCUCCUUGAAAGCAGGAACAUGAGUCUUAGAGUUGAUGAAAUCGCCGCACGGAGGUAGCAGUAAAAGACAUCGGAGAUGGGAAGAGUCAAAUAACAUUCCUGAUUUUCCACCCAUCAAUCAGUGCUCAGCCAGAAGAGCAGAAGGCUUUCUCUAGCCAAGCCAAUGCAAGGUGACUUCCACCUUCAUAGACAUCUUCAGCAUUUAACUUCCACUCGUCAGCGGCUACAGAGGAAUGAAAUGCAUUUACUCAUAAACUAUGGGAAGUCCCUCUUGAUCACGACCUCUUGUAUGUCACUCUGUGUUCCACAUCAUUCACUGCCAAAUAAGCGAAUGCAGUGAUGUUCACAUGUGUGGCUUCUCAUGACCACUCCCUAUAACCACUUACCAUCUCUGUACAAAUUUAAAUUGGGGGAAGAAAAGGGAGUCCUUCUUAACUUUUCUG